This 607-nucleotide ribosomal RNA is filed under the name uncultured Gammaproteobacteria bacterium. RNAcentral's name for it is "bacterial SSU rRNA". It matches the Rfam family "Bacterial small subunit ribosomal RNA", at positions 66 to 670 of the family's 1533-position model. Lineage: Bacteria; Pseudomonadati; Pseudomonadota; Gammaproteobacteria. The record is from RNAcentral.
ACGGUAACAGGAUGUGCUUGCACAUCGCUGACGAGUGGCGGACGGGUGAGUAAUGCUUGGGAACUUGCCUUUGCGAGGGGGAUAACAGUUGGAAACGACUGCUAAUACCGCAUAAUGUCUUCGGACCAAACGGGGCUUCGGCUCCGGCGCAGAGAGAGGCCCAAGUGAGAUUAGCUAGUUGGUAAGGUAAAGGCUUACCAAGGCGACGAUCUCUAGCUGUUCUGAGAGGAAGAUCAGCCACACUGGGACUGAGACACGGCCCAGACUCCUACGGGAGGCAGCAGUGGGGAAUAUUGCACAAUGGGGGGAACCCUGAUGCAGCCAUGCCGCGUGUGUGAAGAAGGCCUUCGGGUUGUAAAGCACUUUCAGUUGUGAGGAAAAGUUGGUAGUUAAUACCUGCCAGCCGUGACGUUAACAACAGAAGAAGCACCGGCUAACUCCGUGCCAGCAGCCGCGGUAAUACGGAGGGUGCGAGCGUUAAUCGGAAUUACUGGGCGUAAAGCGCACGCAGGCGGUUUGUUAAGCUAGAUGUGAAAGCCCCGGGCUCAACCUGGGAUGGUCAUUUAGAACUGGCAGACUAGAGUCUUGGAGAGGGGAGUGGAAUUCC